Long non-coding RNA from Eupeodes corollae, 1337 nucleotides. RefSeq lists it as uncharacterized. The record is from RefSeq and is a predicted model, not a curated record. The transcript has 4 exons. NCBI's taxonomy places the organism in Eukaryota, Metazoa, Arthropoda, Insecta, Diptera, Syrphidae.
UACAGCGAUGUCGCAGAAGUCUGAAAAGCUUCGCUUUGCAAACUAUCUGACAUGCUUCAUUUGACGAGAUGGAUAUACAAGUCGAGAGUUGUUAUAAAGUUGAGGAAUAUCUUUACUUGGUGGUCAUUCAAAGCCAAAUAUAAAUACAAGUUGAAUUAAUUGCAGCGUGUGAAAGCAGUAGCACAUUCACGUAAUGUGCCACCAUCUUUGCAAUGCAAAGCACUUCUUUCAGCCAGCUACGGAUAGACGAAAGAUCGCAAUGUAUGCAAGUCCUUCCUGAUCAUGUGAACAAUAGUUAAUUUAAUCUACAGUCAGUUUUUCAAGACAGUACCUACCACCGAGGAUUGGCCAAUUGAUCUGAUUCACUAUGCUCUUUUUUGCAGAAAUUCACAUUUGAAUAUCUUCCUUUCACAUUUUUUGGCGAACUCUGUGAUGUAGUUGGUCUCUGGAAUUCAAUUGAAAUACCUUCCUUCAUUCAUGAUUUAUUGCUUUCAAUGCCGUUAAUAUCUUCAAUUCAAGCCUGCCUCUUGUUACCAACGAAGAAGGAGACAAGUUCGGAAAAUCUGCUGGCGAUGGUAUUUGGCAGGACGAAGAAAAAACGUCGCCUUUUUCUCUUUAUCAGUUUUUUUGAAAAUGCCAGAUUCAGAAGUCGAGAAUCUUCUCAAGUUGUUCACGUUGUUCAAGUUGUUUUAUUCCACUGGAAGAAAUUGCAUUUCUCAUGGAACAACACAAAAAUCACCAGAGAAGAGAAAAGCACAAACUAUUCUAGCUGAAGAUGUGACACUUCUAGUCCAUUGAGAGGCGGGUCUAAAACAAGCCGAAAAAGUCACAGAAGCGCUCUACAAUGCAAAUGUUGAAGGACUAGGUGAACUGAAUUAAAACUAAAUCCUAUCGUUAAGAUUUUUCCAGAGCCUGGACUAUCCGUUCUUGAUCUGCCACUAAAAGCUUAAUGUUUUACAACAAAGAUCGGUACGGUGAGAAUCAUCACAGCUGGAGGGUUCUAUAUCAAGCAAUAGCGAACACAAAACUUCGCACUAACUCAUCAGCACUAACAGCACAUACCAUUUCUAUCUAUCUAUUAGUUCAAAAUGCUAAAUGUCUCCUUUUUGUUGGCAAGGAUGAGCAUAUCGAUUAUAACAAUUUGUUUAGCUUAUAUCCUUAUUCAAUUUUACAUUAAUAAUACGAGUAGUAUUGUAAAUAACUUGAAUCAUUAAACAUGUAGACUUCCUGGUUUGUUAAUCCUGUUUAUAUAUUUUUUUAAAUACAAUGAAAUUAAUUCAAAUAUGUUUUUAAAAUCCAUUCGGCACUCAACGUUAUAAUUAUUGACAUAAUAUACA